Molecule: unclassified non-coding RNA, 214 nt
Filed under: Hevea brasiliensis (rubber tree)
Lineage: Eukaryota; Viridiplantae; Streptophyta; Magnoliopsida; Malpighiales; Euphorbiaceae
Source: RNAcentral
GUCUCCUAUGAGAAGUUUAGACAAGUUGCAGGUCUCUGUUCCUUUUGAAAAAUUGAUUUGUGGAUUGAGUUUCCAAGCUCCAUUUGGCCAGUUAAGUAUUUCUCUUUUGGUUCUAGAGAUGGUUUCCUUGAAUGUCAUAGGUCACAUUCAGCUUUCUUGGUGGUGUUGAUUAUUGAUUGGUUGAAGCCUCCCUUAUGACUUAGUCCGGGAUUUU